This 77-nucleotide transfer RNA is filed under the name Bacillota bacterium. RNAcentral describes it as "tRNA-Arg". It matches the Rfam family "tRNA". From Rfam's summary of the family: Transfer RNA (tRNA) molecules are approximately 80 nucleotides in length. Their secondary structure includes four short double-helical elements and three loops (D, anti-codon, and T loops). RNAcentral also lists the same sequence under 3 other names. Lineage: Bacteria; Bacillati; Bacillota. The record is from RNAcentral.
GCGGCAGUAGCUCAGCUGGAUAGAGUGACUGGCUACGAACCAGUAGGUCGGGGGUUCGAGUCCCUCCUGCCGUACCA